CCUACGGGUGGCAGCAGUGGGGAAUAUUGGACAAUGGGGGCAACCCUGAUCCAGCCAUGCCGCGUGUGUGAAGAAGGCCCUCGGGUUGUAAAGCACUUUCAGUGAGGAAGAACGCCUGGUGGUUAAUACCCAUCAGGAAAGACAUCACUCACAGAAGAAGCACCGGCUAACUCCGUGCCAGCAGCCGCGGUAAUACGGAGGGUGCGAGCGUUAAUCGGAAUUACUGGGCGUAAAGCGCGCGUAGGUGGCUUGAUAAGCCGGUUGUGAAAGCCCCGGGCUCAACCUGGGAACGGCAUCCGGAACUGUCAAGCUAGAGUGCAGGAGAGGAAGGUAGAAUUCCCGGUGUAGCGGUGAAAUGCGUAGAGAUCGGGAGGAAUACCAGUGGCGAAGGCGGCCUUCUGGACUGACACUGACACUGAGGUGCGAAAGCGUGGGUAGCAAACAGGAUUAGAUACCCUGGUAGUCC
This 466-nucleotide ribosomal RNA is filed under the name Vreelandella stevensii. RNAcentral's name for it is "partial 16S ribosomal RNA". It matches the Rfam family "Bacterial small subunit ribosomal RNA", at positions 338 to 796 of the family's 1533-position model. The record is from RNAcentral. Lineage: Bacteria; Pseudomonadati; Pseudomonadota; Gammaproteobacteria; Oceanospirillales; Halomonadaceae.